GAGAAAUUCAAAGUGCUGUGAGAGUUCUGAGCAGGAAAUGUUUACAUCUGAUUGAGGGAGCCGGAAAGACGUCGUGGAAGAGAAGUAUAUUAGGGCCUGCCCAACUACUUGGGAGGAUUAAACCGCCUGGAUGCAGUAAACCUCUCUAGGGGGUGAGAAACCUCUUCUCCAAACAGAAUUUGGAGGCCAGGAGCCAUGGCAUCCUUCCGGACUCCUCGCUGCUCGGGUCAUGUACACAGUGACAGCACCCUUCAGAGUUGGAGACUAACCUGUUAUGGCCUCAGCCCUCAUCGAUUUUCCUCAAGUGUGAAAGUAAUUGUUCUCAGCACCCCCAGGCUGUUUCCUGAAGUCCAGACAGCUGUGCUUUCAGUCGAUGGAAACCUGGGAACCCCUCUUGUCCCUAUUCCUGUGGGAUAGUCCCUAGGCUUCCUGCAUUGAUCCAGGCAGGAGUCAGCUUCAAGAGCUUCUGGUAAGACCUUUUCUUCUAAUACUCUGGGGGAUUGAAUCUGGGGCCUUGAACAUGCAAGGGAACUGCUCUACACAAACACUUGAUAUUUUGAGACAAGGUCUUAGUAAGUAGGCCAGGCUGAUUUUGAACUCACUUUAGUUCAGGAUGUCCUUGAGCUUGAAACACUUCUGCCUCAGCCUCCUCAGUACAUGACACCUCUCAACAUGCUCAGUUUGACAAUCUUUUGAUGUUUUUUGUAGGUUGGUCAAUAAGCUUAAACCUUGCCUCAGCUCCAAAGGAGCUGGACCAAACCAUUAGACUGAACUUUUAAUUCUUUCAUUGAAAUCUCCAAAUACUGGAAUGCCAGAUCUUUUCCUCUGAGUUUCCAUUUUCUUAAACGUAAUUAGGUGAUAACCACUUUCCUCCUGUUCUGUAACAGUUUCCUCUAUCUUACAGGAAGCUCCUUAAGCAGAAAGGAAAACAAAAAAGUUUCAGGAAGUCCCUGAAACUGACUGGACUCACUAGGCUCCGCCCCACCAGAGUAAGCAAUAAAAGCUGAGCAUCCCUCUCA
RNAcentral lists this long non-coding RNA (1019 nucleotides) under Meriones unguiculatus (Mongolian gerbil). RNAcentral's name for it is "lncRNA (ENSMUGG00000004994.1)". The record is from RNAcentral. Lineage: Eukaryota; Metazoa; Chordata; Mammalia; Rodentia; Muridae.